RNAcentral lists this ribosomal RNA (253 nucleotides) under uncultured bacterium. RNAcentral describes it as "partial 16S ribosomal RNA". It matches the Rfam family "Bacterial small subunit ribosomal RNA", at positions 524 to 776 of the family's 1533-position model. The record is from RNAcentral.
UACAGAGGGGGCAAGCGUUAUUCGGAAUUAUUGGGCGUAAAGGGCGCGUAGGCGGCUUGGCAAGUGGAAGGUGAAAUCCCUCGGCUUAACCGCUGGACUGCCUUCGAGACUGCCUGGCUUGAGCAUGGUAGAGGCUGGCGGAAUUCCCGGUGUAGCGGUGGAAUGCGUAGAGAUCGGGAAGAACAUCGGUGGCGAAGGCGGCCAGCUGGGCCAUUGCUGACGCUGAUGCGCGACAGCGUGGGGAGCAAACAGG